Molecule: non-coding RNA, 106 nt
Organism: Podarcis lilfordi (Lilford's wall lizard)
Lineage: Eukaryota; Metazoa; Chordata; Lepidosauria; Squamata; Lacertidae
Source: the annotation of a GenBank genome assembly
CCUUCGCCCCUCCAGAUGUUUUGGACUACAAUUCCCAUCAUCCCUGACCACUGGUCCUGUUGGGUAGAGAUGAUGGGAGUUGUAGUCCCAAAACAUCUGGAGGGCC